Long non-coding RNA from Paramormyrops kingsleyae, 2604 nucleotides. RefSeq lists it as uncharacterized. The record is from RefSeq and is a predicted model, not a curated record. NCBI's taxonomy places the organism in Eukaryota, Metazoa, Chordata, Actinopteri, Osteoglossiformes, Mormyridae.
ACCUUUUGAGUGAGAAGUUGUGGUACAGAGGUGCUCCAAAAACAAGGUCACCAGUAGGAGACUGGGAACAAUGUCACUAACCCAGGACAGGGUGACAGCAGAUGACACUCUCACCACAGUGGUCCUUCAUCUCAGGAAGAAAAGUAAAGAUGUAGGGAUGGAGAGUUAGCAGGGUCCUGCAUCAGCUGCUCACAAGAGGAACGUCCAUGAUGGAAACGGCAUUGGGGGUGAAGCCUUCACGGCUCAGUCUGCCAUGAUGCAAGACCCAGAAGAUCCCAGCUGAUGAUCAAUUGUUAUUCGUUCAGAGCGGAAAUCAUCUGUAACUGCAUCGUCAGAAGCAUCCAACAUCAUCCAAGACAAUGCACUGGAAUUGGGAGACGGCCGUAAUUUGCAUCCCGUACCGCUCCCCGUGUCCGAUCUUGAAAAAUGGAUUGCAGUGAACCUGCAGCAUAACCCAGAGCACACAGAAUGGAGGGACACUCUGGAUGGGAUGUCGGGCAUCAUGCUACUGUACUGAUUAAAACUGAGUGCAGUAGGGGCCUGGAUACCCUGACAGAUUCAGGAGACCCAGCCCUUGACAGGAGCCCUUGAAUACGUAAAGAGGAGAGGUGGAGGUGAAUGACAUCAUGCUGUGGUUCCCUUAUGAAGACACAUGUUCCUGGGCUGUAGCUGACUUUCUGCAUCAUGCCAGUUUGCCCUGUGACACACAACCUAUUACAGACAAACUCGGAGCCUUUAUUGACGAAAACCAUCAGACUUCCUGUUCUGGGAGGAAAUGGAUUUCUGGAAGGAUCGCUGGGGCCAUGACUGUGCUGAACGUGUGUCAUGCACUGGUUCACUGGGGGCGAGGAAGAAACCAGCACGUUUAUUAUCUGUAUUUUUAUGCCAGUGCAGAGUUAUGUUUCUGGUGUACAGAUGAUUAUUGGGUUUUUUUUUACCGAUUAAGGCCAACAAAUUAUAGCUCUUCUUGAGCAGAUCUGCAACUUUCUGCCACCUCAGUACUCGCAGAGCAUUUCUGACUUAAUAACAAAAAGGUUAAAAAAAAAAAAAAACAGGAAGUGGUAUAAUAACUGGUCCGAUAGAUGACUGCCCUAACAUGCUACCUUCAACCUCUCCUCUGUACGCCUUCCUUAGUUUACAGUAAGAGCUCAGCAUUUUCAGAGGAAAUUUUAUGGGUCUUAUGCGAAGUUUUAUGGCCUCUGACAUAUAAUUAAAGAAACAUCCAGUUCUGCAGCAGCCGGUAGAGGCAUUUUGGCCCCCAGAAUCAUUGCUGGUGAGAUACAAAUGAAGACUGUGUGCAUUCCUCAUAAAUCUGCGGGCCCGUUGCAGCCCGCCAGCACAGUGGAGGCGGUGGGGGGGGUGGAUGUUUUAUGCAACACUGGAUGUAUUCCAUCCCCGGGAUGUCCGAGACACCAUCACCUCCCUCGUCGGUCCUGGCCGAAAUACGCUCAUUGGGGGGUGGGGGGAGAAGCUGGGAGGAGGUAAUUAGGUCUUAAAAAACCGACUUGUCCAGCAGAAGUGAACGAUUGGUCUCAAUUAGAAAGUGAUUUAUUUCAGCCUAUUACUUUAUAAUGGAAUAUGGCAGGCCGAACUUAAUGUCCUCAGUUAUGAAUCACGUCUGGAUUGCACUUAGGGCUGUUAGAGGGCUUUUUAAAAAGAUGAGCGUAAAUUUUCAGGGUGACUUCAGGGUGUUUUUAAUCUGGCGAGCGUAAAUAUGGAUUAAUUUCAAAAGGGGAGCUUUAAGGAACCUCUACAGGAUGGGAGAACUUACUCGUGCAACGGUGAAGUCAGGAAUGCAUUGUAACCUCACUUAGGUGUGUUAUAAACAAAUCGUAAUAAAUGAGAAUUCGAACAUUUCAGAUGAUAUUUACAGGGGUGGGUUAAUGCUUAGACUAUCCUAGGCUAUAGCCUUGGGCCCCAGCAAACGUCAGGGUCUCGUCCCGAAUAGUUAAAUCAACAGCACCUGAGCGUCCAUGGUGAUUUCAGCCUAGGACCCCCAGGUAAGUUAAUCCGCCUCUGGAUAUUUAGUAUGAGACUGCAGGUUCCCUGUACCAGAGAAGUGUUUGGAAGAUGGAUGUUUAUUAUGAAUUACACUGCUGACAAUCGGUACAAGUUUAUAGUGGGCCUGCAGCCUUAAUUCCUAGGCUGGGGAUACCAGUUCAUUGCUGGGAAAACACACUACGGGAAAUUCAGAGAUUCUUUGGACUGUGGCAGGAAUGUGGAGCACCUGGAGGAAAGCCAAGCAACACAAGAAGAGCAUGCAAGCUCCGCACACACUCAGACUGGGGGGAUCAUUCAGACUUGCAUCAUACCUCCUCAUGAUGAUGAUGAUGAUGAUGAUGAUGGAAAAGUGUUUCCUUACUAUACCACCAUAACUCCUGAUUGUGAUGAUUAUGAUGAGGUUAUGAUACUAUCCACUGUAGCACCAUACCUCAUGAUGAUGAUGAUGAUUCAUGAUGAUGAUGGUCAUCGAUGAUAAUGAUGAUGUGCAGUUUGUGGAUCAGUGGGUUAGGAUGCUGUACCUGUAAUCUGAAGAUUGCUGGUUUGACUCCCAGGGUCACCAGUGUUACUUAACCAUUAAGAUCCUGAGCAGGGCCCUUAACU